Molecule: ribosomal RNA, 295 nt
Filed under: Bacteroidales bacterium
Lineage: Bacteria; Pseudomonadati; Bacteroidota; Bacteroidia; Bacteroidales
Description: partial 16S ribosomal RNA
Rfam family: Bacterial small subunit ribosomal RNA
Source: RNAcentral
ACAAAGAAGAGUUUGAUCCUGGCUCAGGAUGACCGCUAGCGGCAGGCUUAACACAUGCAAGUCGAGGGGCAGCGCGGGGUAGCAAUACUCUGGCGGCGACCGGCGGAAGGGUGCGUAACGCGUGAGCAACAUGCCCGUAUCAGGAGGAUAACCGAUGGAAACGUCGCCUAAUACUCCAUAACAACGUGGGGGACAUCCCUUGCGUUUGAAAGCUACGGCGGAUACGGAUUGGCUCGCGUGACAUUAGCUUGUUGGCGGGGUAACGGCCCACCAAGGCGACGAUGUCUAGGGGUUC